Molecule: non-coding RNA, 148 nt
Organism: Homo sapiens (human)
Lineage: Eukaryota; Metazoa; Chordata; Mammalia; Primates; Hominidae
Rfam family: Metazoan signal recognition particle RNA
About the family: The signal recognition particle (SRP) is a universally conserved ribonucleoprotein.
Source: Rfam
GCCGGGCACGGUGGCAUGUGCCUGUAAUCCAAGCUACUCGGGAGGCUGAGGCAGGAGAAUUGCUUGAACCCGGGAGGUGGAGGUUGCAGUGAACUGAGAUCGUACCACUGCACUCUAGCCUGGGCAAUAGAGCAAGACCCUGUCUCAA